GCAUCCACUGAUACCAUAUGUGGAGAUUGUCCUGAUAAAACCUUUUCAGAUGGCCUGUCUACAAACUGCAAACCACACAGAGAUUGCAGCUCCGAGGGACUUCGUGAAUUGAAACCUGGCAGCCAUUCUUCUGAUUCUGAAUGUGGAGAUAAAUUUCAGACUGGUCCCAUAUUGGGGAUUGUUGCAGCUGUUACUGUAUUAGUUGCAGCAGUAAUAGGACUCGUAAUAUUUAUAAAAGGGAGAAGGUAAUCGGACAGGCAACGUGUUCCUGUCUGGGCCUGGACAGUGAGAGACAGAGCACAGUGAGAGCAGGUGUGAAAGCUUUCUUCCAGGUAUAUCUCCUGCUGCGAAGAAAUUUCCCUGGCCAAGAAAAGAUGCACAGCACAGCCAUCAAUCCCCAUCCCAUCACCCACUCUGGCCAAAGUUGGGUGUGCCUUCUAGCAGUCUGGAUCAGAGGACCCUCGAGAACCUGUCAAACAACUAAUGUUUCAUCUUCCUCUUGGCCAGAUGGGGGCCCCUGGGAAAUCUUCCAUAAGACUCCGGAUGGCCUUUAUCAGUAUAAACUUUUACCAUUCAGAUUACAUGGGGUGCUGGCCACCUUCCAAAAGAUGAUAGAUCAGCUGCUGCAAAGCCCAUAUUGGAAAUACACCUCUGCCUCUGUGGAAGAUGAUGUCAUUCACUCAGACUCAUGGGCCAGCCAUCUGGAGAAGGUACGCAAUGUGUUGUGUAUGUUUCUGCAGGCUGGAUUGACAGUUUACCCCAAGGAGUGCUGUCUCAGACAACAAGCAGCUCUCUGCUUUGGAUAUUUCACUGGCUGGGAGGAGGUGGUACAGAACUGGCCCCAAACUGGCAGUAAAAGUCAGGUGAUACCAGUCCUCGGUCUGGCAAGUUAUAUAUGGCAUGGACAGUUUAAACCCCACUUUGCCUCUAUAGCUAACCCUUUGACAAAACAUAUUUGGAAGAACACCACUGAAAAACAGUUUUUGACAACUGAAACUGAGCCUACA
This is a long non-coding RNA of Megalops cyprinoides (Indo-Pacific tarpon), 1007 nucleotides long. RefSeq lists it as uncharacterized. The transcript has 3 exons. NCBI's taxonomy places the organism in Eukaryota, Metazoa, Chordata, Actinopteri, Elopiformes, Megalopidae. The record is from RefSeq and is a predicted model, not a curated record.